Pecten maximus is the source of this 1832-nucleotide long non-coding RNA. RefSeq lists it as uncharacterized. The record is from RefSeq and is a predicted model, not a curated record. The transcript has 2 exons. Lineage: Eukaryota; Metazoa; Mollusca; Bivalvia; Pectinida; Pectinidae.
GUCACAUAAAUGUUGCUUGAUGUAUAGAACUAGUUACCUGUUUCAUUUACAGUCUUAACAUGUACACAUAGAAGGAAGGAUGAAAAUCAGAGUGAUUUGGCAUCUUCCCUACCAUCAUAUCAACCACAAAAUAGCUUAUCACAAGACAGAUCUCUCCCAUCUGCUAGCCAAUCACAGAACCUGUCUCUGCAGACACAAUCUAGCCAAUCACAGAACUCGUCUCUCCCACUGAUGGACACCUCCCAUACAGACAAGGCCAAGCUACUUGGUUCACUUACAGACAUGACUGCACUGACAGAGCCGGGACAAAAGCUGCUGGACUUGAAAUUUUGUGACAGACUGUUAAAUCAGAUUGUCGAUUUCUACACACACAAGUAGACAUCUCGUCUUUAAUUAACAGGCUCUGGUGGCCUGUGUCGAGGCCAGGGAUAACCUACAGAUCGUCACAGAAUUGGAGACAAAGUUUGGACUAAAACUUAAAAGGUCUAUUUCUUCAGCUUAAACACACCGCACACCAGGCACUAAAUAGAUGUGAUUUAAUUUCAAUGCAACAUAUUGAGACAAUGUUUAGAUAUUGGUUGUUAAGAUUGUAUUCAUUUAUUUAUUUAUUUUUUUUUUUUUUUUUUUUAUUGAAGUAUGUGUGAAUCAUAAAGAUAUCAAAUUUGUGGGAUGAAUGAAAUAGCUACAUUAUGAUAUACUGAUAGACUGACUGUCAUAAUACUAAAAUAUUAAUUUGAAGAAAUAGUAUCCUUGUGCAUAAAUAUUCAUGUGACACCGACCUAUGACUUUUACAUCAUUUUAACAAACAAUGAAAUAUACAAAAAUAUUACUUACUUCAGCUAUACAUGUAUAUAUUAUGAGAACAAGAAAAAUGGCAUAUUUAUUGAGUUUUCCAGCUAAAAAUAAUGAUUCCUUGACAAAAUUGUUUACAAUCUGUAGAAUUCCAUCAAUGAAUCCAGAGCACAAGGUCACUACUCAUUGGCAUUAGUGAUAUACUGAAAACGGACAUAUUUUAGUUGUUAUCUUAUUUCAGCGCGUUUUACACUGGAAUCAUAAUGCUAAAUUAUGAUUGCCCUAAAUGCACUUUCUUUAUACUGUUUCUGUAUACAUUGAUCUUAUCGCAGCAAUUUACAAGUGCGCUAAACUGUUAAAAUUCAGAAAUACACUAAAAUUUGAGUACGCCAAAUGAAGUAUGUUAACAGUAUUUUAAGUUGAAGGGUUGGUAGCAUUUUUGUGAUAGUAUUGUUUUCUAUUUAAAUGAGUUACCUUGACAAAAUUCAAAGGUUCCAUCAGAAAUUAAAAAUAAAAUAAAUUAUUAUGGAAAUGAAGAGUAGUUCCACAUUUCAGAUACCCCAUGGCCAUAAUGUCAAAGUUAGAAAAAACACAUGAAUACCACUGGAGUGUAUACGUAUUAUUAACCAAUUUUGGACAUCUAGUUUAAAAAUGCCAACUUUUUUUUAGUUUUUGGGAAUAUGAUUGAUUUCACUAUGUUUUGCCAUAUAUACAUGUAUAUGCAUGUAUUACCUAUAAAAUUACUGACAUCAAACAAAUUUCAAAGCAUGUUUGAAAUAGCAAAAAUUCGAGCCCAUUGGAAAUAUUUGGUUAUUGUCAGUAUAUUAUUUUAUUACAAUUAAAUUAUUUUUUAACAAAAACAGAAGGUCCAAAAUUGGAGAACCUUGUCCGACUGCAGAGGGAAUUAAAAGAAAAAACUUAAUAAAACAUUCAGUGCCAACCCGAGAACAUUUUUUAUGGAUUUCUUGAAAUGUUUGUUAUGCAGUUGUUUGCUAUAGUUAAACAAUUAUUUUCAAAUAUAAUAAACUACUGUUAAUGAU